AGUGUCCUGUCCUGGACAACUUCUGCCUUUGUGUGUCCUGAGGCCACUGGGCAGGUACUUUGGAGCAGAAAAGUUGGUCUUACCUCUGCUUUCAGGUUUGUAGGCACUCCUGGUGACUGGCUUUCAGUUCUUGGUACAGGCAGAAACCUGAAGGGUCCUGCACCUGAAAGCUCCCAGCAGGCACAGAUGGCACUAGGCAAUUUUCUCUUUGGUCAGGAAUGUGGGCACAAAGUAGUUUUCUCCUCUGAGUUCUCAGAAUCCUCUGCACUUCUGAGGGUCCAGCUCUCUCCCCCAUGGGAUUUGGGUUCAGAGAGCUGUGGGACUGGUUUAGUUCAGUUCUGGGCACAGGCAAGAUGUUGCAUUCUUUUGUUUUAGAAUGAAAUGUCCUAUAGAUAUCUGUUAAAUAAAUUUGGUUCAUAGCUUC
This 424-nucleotide long non-coding RNA is filed under the name Rattus norvegicus (Norway rat). RNAcentral describes it as "long non-coding RNA NONRATT002337". Lineage: Eukaryota; Metazoa; Chordata; Mammalia; Rodentia; Muridae. The record is from RNAcentral.